Rattus norvegicus (Norway rat) is the source of this 105-nucleotide small nucleolar RNA. Ensembl annotates it as small nucleolar RNA U13. The record is from Ensembl. NCBI's taxonomy places the organism in Eukaryota, Metazoa, Chordata, Mammalia, Rodentia, Muridae.
AUCCCUUCGGUUCAUAAAGCGUGAUGAUUGGGUGUUCAUGCCAUGUGCAUGACAUGUGCCACCCACUGAACCUUGUUACCACAAGGGCACAUUACCGGUCUGACG